RNAcentral lists this long non-coding RNA (284 nucleotides) under Capsella rubella. RNAcentral's name for it is "long non-coding RNA (CRUB_LNC003338)". The record is from RNAcentral. Lineage: Eukaryota; Viridiplantae; Streptophyta; Magnoliopsida; Brassicales; Brassicaceae.
AAGCCAAAAAGUGACGGUUUCGUUUCAGUGGAAAGCAAAGUACACGAGUCAAAAUCCUCCUACUUUUUCCCCCACUUAUAUAUAUAAAAGGUAUAAACAGGAAAAAAAAAAAAACACAGAAAAUAUUUUUAAACAAUUUUGAUAACUUCAAUGAAUUUUUUAAUUAUUUUUCAAAAAGAAAGAAAACCGUUAAAACAAAAACUGCCACAAUCCACAAAAUGCGUAUUAUCACAAAACAAGUUUGUAAUUUUCUCUGUCAGUCAAACCGAAGAUCUGUUGUCGUA